Molecule: ribosomal RNA, 547 nt
Filed under: uncultured Glomeromycotina
Lineage: Eukaryota; Fungi; Glomeromycota
Description: SSU rRNA
Rfam family: Eukaryotic small subunit ribosomal RNA
Source: RNAcentral
UUGGAGGGCAAGUCUGGUGCCAGCAGCCGCGGUAAUUCCAGCUCCAAUAGCGUAUAUUAAAGUUGUUGCAGUUAAAAAGCUCGUAGUUGAAUUUCGGGACUAAUAUGUCGGUCGUACUUUGUACGUACUAGCAUUAUUGGUUUCUCCCUUCUGACGAACCACGAUGUCAUUAAUUUGGUGUCGCGGGAAAUCAGGACUGUUACUUUGAAAAAAUUAGAGUGUUUAAAGCAAGCUCGCGCUUGAAUACAUUAGCAUGGAAUAAUGAAAUAGGACGUUUGAUUCUAUUUUGUUGGUUUCUAGGAUCGACGUAAUGAUUAAUAGGGAUAGUUGGGGGCAUUAGUAUUCAAUUGUCAGAGGUGAAAUUCUUGGAUUUAUUGAAGACUAACUACUGCGAAAGCAUUUGCCAAGGAUGUUUUCAUUAAUCAAGAACGAAAGUUAGGGGAUCGAAGACGAUCAGAUACCGUCGUAGUCUUAACCAUAAACUAUGCCGACUAGGGAUCGGAUGAUGUUAAUUUUUUAAUGACUCAUUCGGCGCCUUACGGGAAAC